UCGCCUGUUUAUCAAACACAUUUCUUUCUUUAUUAGAAAGUAUGCUCUGCUCAAAAAAAUUUUUCAAUAGCCGCAGUAUCCUGACUGUGCUAAGGUAGCAUAAUAAUUUGUCUUAUAAUAGAAGACUGGCAUGAAAGAGUUUACGUCACUUCUUCUUUCUUAAAAAUAGUUUUAUAAUUUUAUAUCUAUGUAAAAAAUCAUAGCUCUCUAAAGGGACGAUAAGACCCUAUAAAGCUUUACUAAAAUAAUAAUUUAAAACCUAGGAAAAUAAUAAUAUUUAUUAGUUAAGCUGGGGCGGCAAUUAUUUACUCGAUAAAAAAAUUAACAAAAAUAUUUGAAAAUUAAGAUCUUGAAAAAAAAUAUAGAACAAGCUACUUUAGGGAUAACAGCACAAUUUUUUCGUAUAGACCUUAUAGACGAAAAAGACUUGUGACCUCGAUGUUGAAUUGAAGAGCUCUAUUUAAGCAGAAAUAAUUAUGAGAAGUCUGUUCGACUUUUAUUCCUUCACGUGAUCUGAGUUCAGACCGGA
Molecule: ribosomal RNA, 529 nt
Filed under: Betamorpha sp. BOLD:ADL5566
Lineage: Eukaryota; Metazoa; Arthropoda; Malacostraca; Isopoda; Munnopsidae
Description: partial 16S ribosomal RNA
Rfam family: Archaeal large subunit ribosomal RNA
Source: RNAcentral